UGGGGAAUUGUUCGCAAUGGGCGCAAGCCUGACGACGCAACGCCGCGUGGAGGAUGAAGAUCUUCGGGUCGUAAACUCCUGUCGAGCGGGACGAACACUUUCCGGGUGAACAAUCCGGAAGGCUGACGGUACCGCUAAAGGAAGCCCCGGCUAACUCCGUGCCAGCAGCCGCGGUAAUACGGGGGGGCAAGCGUUGUUCGGAAUUACUGGGCGUAAAGGGCUCGUAGGCGGCCAACUAAGUCGGACGUGAAAUCCCCAGGCUCAACCUGGGAACUGCGUCCGAUACUGGAUGGCUUGAAUCCGGGAGAGGGAUGCAGAAUUCCAGGUGUAGCGGUGAAAUGCGUAGAUAUCUGGAGGAAUACCGGUGGCGAAGGCGGCAUCCUGGACCGGCAUUGACGCUGAGGAGCGAAAGCCAGGGGAGCAAACGGGAUUAGAUACCCCGGUAGUCCUGGCCCUAAACGGAUGAAUGCUUGGUGUAACGGGUAUCGAUCCCUGUUGUGCCGAAGCUAACGCAUUAAG
Molecule: ribosomal RNA, 519 nt
Filed under: uncultured Acidobacteriota bacterium
Lineage: Bacteria; Pseudomonadati; Acidobacteriota
Description: bacterial SSU rRNA
Rfam family: Bacterial small subunit ribosomal RNA
Source: RNAcentral